UAGGAAACCUAUCAGUUCUGUAGGGCUCUAUGUCAAUAAUGAAUUAAUAGCAAGUUCAAAUCCCAACUCUCAGAUUGACACAGAAACACAUUAUUUACUCGAGAAAGUUGUUUGUGAGGAAGUAUCAGCUCAAGAGAAAUAUUUGAAGAUCGACUGUGCCAUUGAGCUUAAGGAACAGUGGCAAGAUCUACAUGUUGAAGAUGAAUUUGUUUUUGUUGAUGAUCUGGAAAACUAUCAUAAAAAACUUCCUAAUUUAUCUACACUUCUG
Molecule: long non-coding RNA, 268 nt
Filed under: Gallus gallus (chicken)
Lineage: Eukaryota; Metazoa; Chordata; Aves; Galliformes; Phasianidae
Description: long non-coding RNA NONGGAT012040
Source: RNAcentral